RNAcentral lists this small RNA (28 nucleotides) under Bombyx mori (domestic silkworm). RNAcentral describes it as "ovarian small RNA-24693". Lineage: Eukaryota; Metazoa; Arthropoda; Insecta; Lepidoptera; Bombycidae. The record is from RNAcentral.
UCAAGAAUAUGGCUAAGCAAGCAAAGAU